UUUAUAGCAGAGGCUGAGUUCAUUAGGAACCCAGAUUUACUUUAAUUCUCUUGAUCACCAUUUCUAUGUACUGAGAACAGUACUGAUAUAAGAUUCACUUUGCAUCAAGACUUUUUUCGAGAGAAGAAAGAUGUAGUUGAAGAACUUGAGGAAAUCUUAAGUUGGAGUGGAGUAGACCAAACGGAGAAGAUGAGGAACUAAAGCUGAUUAGAAGAGCACAUAGUGCUAAUAAACACCCAAGGAUUACAGAACGCCAAAGGCUGAAAUUCCGAGCUUACUUUGUGUAGAAAAAAGAUUUGCAAAGUUUUUGUUCUCAGAAUAAGUCUGUAAUGUUGUUUGGUUUCUGUACUGUUGUUUGCAUCAAUUAUUAAAAAGCAUGGUCUGCUCUUUGAUAUCUCAUUUACCAACACAAAUUUUCAAUCAGUCUAAAAUAUUUUUAGCACAUCACAUGAUCUAAAUUCCGCAGUCUCCCUUAAGGCCUUAGCCAACACAAAGCUCUGCUUGUACUCCAAUUUCAUUCCUGCAACACCGACAAGGCAACAACCACUUCUCUGGACCGGGUAACAUUCUCAUCUCCUCUCUCUCUGUGCUGAUUCUUAUUAAUCCAUAAAUUUAAUAAUAGGUUUGGGUAUUUUCGUCCGGAGUGGAGUAAUAUUUUAUAAGAUAACUAGGGUUUAAUUAACAUAGUAUCUAGAAGUUAGUUGUAGGAGAAGUAAUCUCAACCAACGGCUGCUAUAUAAACCCUAACCACAAAUAUUUUCACAUAUGCAACUAUCUUGGUGACAAGGAGUAGUGGUGUUAAUUAGCAUGGUAUAUAGAAAACCAAGUUUAAGUCGUCGUCGUCUUCUUCUUCGAGCUCAAACUUUUGGUUAAAAAGGUAUGGAGUUGGACCAGCAGGAAACUGAGGAAAAUAUGGAGUGCCGGGACCAGCAGGAAACUGCUGCUGCUCGUACGGUUGAAGAUAUUAUGGAGUACUGGGACCAGCAGGACACUGCUGCUGCUGUUAGAGAUAUGGAGUGCUUAGACAAGUGGGGAACUGCUGAAGAGAUGGAGUUGGAGAUUUAAGGAACAAAUCUCUUCUGGAGGUAACCAUGCUUGAGCAGCAGAUGAUAUUGUUGCUAUCGCACGGUGAUAGUAGCUUGUGGGUGAACGAUGUAAUAUAAAGCACCAUAUACCUUUUCUACUAAGAUUAACAUUAUUGACACGGCAUUGAUAUCAUGCGGGAAUAUCAAGGAGGAUUAAUCAAAUUUUAGAAAUAAGUCCAGAACUCUAUCUAAGCUCACGUGUGCCUAUGUUCGGAACAAUGUAUUCAAUACUUCCAUAUUCCAUGUCAGUUGCAGAAAAAAAGUCUUUGCAGAUACUGGAUGAAACAACUCCAUCAGUGGCUGCUCAAUGAUAGCCAUCUCCACGCGCUGAAGUUCUAAUAGCCUCGACAGACAGACAGACAGACAGACAGACAGACAGACAGACAGACAGACACGCAAGUCAGUGGCAAGGAACAUGCCAACCGGAAAGAGCAAACAAUGAGGCUUUUGCUCAUAUAAUUGCUCAAUCUGAGACAAUCAGAGGAACAAGACAAGAUGGGAAUUUAUUUCAAGCUAUUUAAUUGUGGUAACUUGUGUUUUUCGAUAACUAAAACAAAGCAGCGGAGCCAAGAAGUUUAAACAUAGCUAAGCUACUAAAAAUAGCCUUUCUGGAAAUUCCACAGAUGCCCCUGACUCUGGGACCGUCAGGAAACUGCUGCUGGAGAUAUAGAGCGCUUGGACCAGCGGGAAACUGCUGCUACUGCCGAAGAUAUGUCACAUUUCAGAAAAAGAGAAAAAAGAACUACUUGCUUGAAAGAUUGUGUUAAAUGGGGGCGAAAGUCUAUGUUGUUCAUUGUUGAUGGCAUCUCUCUCGUGAUUAAAUCUGAACGGGAAAUGCUUGAGGUGACUGUUGAAAACUUUGAAACAAACCGUUUUAACGGGAUGGCAGAGUAUCUCGGACUUUUUUGUCAUCGAGUUAAGCAAGAAAUUAAUAGUCGAUAAAAUGGCUGCAGAUAUGCUAGCUUUUUACAUACGGCCACAAGGGUAAAAAGAAAAGAAGGCGCUGCAGUGUUGAGCAUGUAAAAUUUCUACUGCAUCAGUUGGUGAGGAUAUCCUUUACAUACACAAUUGGGGAAAAUCCAUCAAAGCUGGAGGCGACUGAUAUACUAUUCAAUUUGCAUCAAGACUUUUUGCCAGGGAAGCAGGAUGUUUUUAGAAAACCUGCGAGAACCUUGUGUUGGACUGGAAAAAACCACAAGGAGAAGUUGAAGAAAGACGAACAACUAAAGCCAAUAGACAACGAAAGAUUUCGAAAAGCCGAAGGCUGAAAGUCCGAGCUUACUUUGUGUAGACCAAAAAAUUGAGCUGGCAAAAACCAGAGAAUUUCUGCAAAGAAGAUCAUACACGACAAUAUCCAAGGCAUAAACCGUCCUGCCAACACAACAAUGUUUAACUUCUCAAUCUAUUCAUCUCUUAAUUGA
Papaver somniferum (opium poppy) is the source of this 2506-nucleotide long non-coding RNA. RefSeq lists it as uncharacterized. The record is from RefSeq and is a predicted model, not a curated record. The transcript has 3 exons. NCBI's taxonomy places the organism in Eukaryota, Viridiplantae, Streptophyta, Magnoliopsida, Ranunculales, Papaveraceae.